This 489-nucleotide ribosomal RNA is filed under the name uncultured bacterium. RNAcentral's name for it is "partial 16S ribosomal RNA". It matches the Rfam family "Bacterial small subunit ribosomal RNA", at positions 30 to 506 of the family's 1533-position model. The record is from RNAcentral.
AUUGAACGCUGGCGGCAGGCCUAACACAUGCAAGUCGAACGGUAACAGGAAGCAGCUUGCUGCUUCGCUGACGAGUGGCGGACGGGUGAGUAAUGUCUGGGAAGCUGCCUGAUGGAGGGGGAUAACUACUGGAAACGGUAGCUAAUACCGCAUAAUGUCGCAAGACCAAAGAGGGGGACCUUCGGGCCUCUUGCCAUCGGAUGUGCCCAGAUGGGAUUAGCUUGUUGGUGGGGUAACGGCUCACCAAGGCGACGAUCCAUAGCUGGUCUGAGAGGAUGACCAGCCACACUGGAACUGAGACACGGUCCAGACUCCUACGGGAGGCAGCAGUGGGGAAUAUUGCACAGUGGGCGCAAGCCUGAUGCAGCCAUGCCGCGUGUAUGAAGAAGGCCUUCGGGUUGUAAAGUACUUUCAGCGGGGAGGAAGGGAGUAAAGUUAAUACCUUUGCUCAUUGACGUUACCCGCAGAAGAAGCACCGGCUAACUCCGU